Molecule: ribosomal RNA, 253 nt
Filed under: uncultured bacterium
Lineage: Bacteria
Description: partial 16S ribosomal RNA
Rfam family: Bacterial small subunit ribosomal RNA
Source: RNAcentral
UACGUAGGGGGCGAGCGUUAUCCGGAAUUAUUGGGCGUAAAGCGCGCGCAGGCGGUCGAUUAAGUCAGGUGUGAAAGGCUGCGGCUCAACCGCAGAGCGGCACCUGAAACUGGUCGACUUGAGUGCAGGAGAGGGGAGUGGAAUUCCCGGUGUAGCGGUGGAAUGCGUAGAGAUCGGGAGGAACACCAGUGGCGAAGGCGGCUCUCUGGCCUGUAACUGACGCUGAGGCGCGAAAGCGUGGGGAGCAAACAGG